AUGGGUCCGGAUAUGUGCGUGCGUAAGCUGGUGCUGUGCCCGGACGGCCUGAUCGCCGCAAUUGUCGGACGCGAACACUUCGCCAAGGUCGCGCUCUGCACGCUCGAGUGCUUCUCGUGGUCGCUCGGCGCGGACGACAAGUGGCGGUGGUACGAGGACUUGAUCUACUACGAGGGGAAGCUCUACGCCAUCACCAACAGCGGGGAACCCCUCGCGUUCGAUGUCGGCUACGAGAACACCGGCGAGCCCAAGAUCUCCGCUGUCGAGACCGUCAUCGAAGGCUGUGGCUACGUCGGCGUGGGGGUGAUGAACUACCUCGUCAAAUCACGCAGCGGCGCGCUACUCAUGGUCAACAGGAACACGGAGGGCGGUAGGUCGGCGUAUGCGUUCGAGGUGUACAAGGCGGAUCUCCGGUCGUCAGGAUCACAAUGGGGCCAGGUGACUGCCCUGGGCGGCGACGAGGCGCUCUUUGUGGGCCGGCUGGGCUCAUGGGAUGUGCGGGCGGACCGGGAAGGAUUGGAGGGUUAUCAGAUCUCCUUCCUUGAUGAUAUGGUUGGCAUGUGGUUCUAG
This 570-nucleotide ribosomal RNA is filed under the name Triticum aestivum (bread wheat). RNAcentral describes it as "partial small subunit ribosomal RNA". The record is from RNAcentral. Lineage: Eukaryota; Viridiplantae; Streptophyta; Magnoliopsida; Poales; Poaceae.